Molecule: ribosomal RNA, 253 nt
Filed under: uncultured bacterium
Lineage: Bacteria
Description: partial 16S ribosomal RNA
Rfam family: Bacterial small subunit ribosomal RNA
Source: RNAcentral
UACAGGGGGUGCAAACGUUGCUCGGAAUCAUUGGGCGUAAAGCGCACGUAGGCGGUUCGUUAUGUCGGAUGUGAAAGCCCUUGGCUUAACCGAGGAAGUGCAUCCGAAACUGGCGAGCUAGAGUACGAAAGAGGAUCGCGGAAUUCCCGGUGUAGCGGUGAAAUGCGCAGAUAUCAGGAGGAACACCGGUGGCGAAGGCGGGUCUCUGGGCAAUAACUGACGCUGAGGAGCGAAAGCGUGGGGAGCGAACAGG